CAAGAAAUCAAUGGCAGUGGUGAUUAAUAGAAAUUAAGCAAAUUUAAUAUACUUAACAAUAAUUAGCAAUGGAUUAGUGGGAUUUUAAUGAGGGUUAGCAUGAGCAUUAGAUUAGGGAUGUGGGAAAUGAUUGGAGGGGUGGAUUAGGAAUAAAGAAGCAAAAUUUCUUGGGCCGAAACCCAAGCUUCCAAGCACACCAUUCGGACCCAACACUGAUUCACCUAAAGCCCUAAUGCGAUCCAAAGGAGGAUCUCCGUCACACUCCAUGCAUCUUCUCCCGGAAAUGCUCAAAAUUUCAUCCAUGUCCGAACGCACGAACAUGUUCAUCCACAGUCGCAAGAGUCUUCGCUUCGUAGCACACACGGGCAACCAUGGAUCUAAACUCACAUCAACUCCUCACCAAGAAUUAAGGAAGAAUACUCCAGGCGUAAUCGAAAUUGAAAUCGAGUCUUCACCAUUGUUCUUGCACGGGAAUAAGUAAAGAGCGAAAGGGUUGAGAACCUACCAGUCCGACGCGGUGGCCCUCGGAUACUCCUCCUCCGAUCCUCUCCUUCGUUCGUGCGCACGUGUUACGGUUCGAUCCGUUGUUGCCGCUUCCGAUUGAUUGGAAUGAACGUUGCGAUUGGUGAAGGUGAGCGAUGCAUCGCUAUUGAUGAAGAUCUUCGAUAAAUCCCUGGUAUGCCCUUCUCAAAUCUUUUCUUUUGGUUUCUAUUUUUGGUUUCGAUCUGUGUUACGAGCUCCUUCUCAAUUUUUUCUUCUUCUGUCUUCUGCGCGGCUCCGUUAUGGUUCUGUCGUGCGAGGUCUUGAUAUGAUGGAUUGAAGAUUGUUACAGGUCCAAGAAGACGACGGCGAAGAAGUUCUAGUUGGUGGCAACAAAGUCCGACGCUCGUCAACUGUGGAGGAGGAAUCGCCGGCGAUGUCGGAAGAAGAUUGGACGGUUGUUGGUGAGAUGGAAGAUGGUGGUAGUAGGGUGAAGGAGUUGGUUUUCUGUGAGGUCGAGGGUGAAGGGUGUUAUGGAAGGUUGUGAAGAAGUGAAGAUGAAGUGAAGUUUGAAGAAUUGAAGGUGAAGUGAAGUUGACUGUGAUGGUGGAGUGUGAACUCGUUAGGGUGAGCUUUGGGUUGUGAUGGGGAUGGAAGGAAAAAGCCCCCAGGUGAAGAAUCAGUUAGCAGUUAUAUAGAGGUUGUUGAAGUUGUUAGGAAUUAGUUAGAUUCAAUGAUAGUUGGCGACAGUUGGCGACAGUUGGUGACAGUUGGCGACAGUUGGAAUUCGGUUCGAGUUGGUUAGAAGUUUGUUUUGACAGUUGUUAUGCCGCUAACCGAAUGGUUGUGGAUGUAGGUUAAUGUUUGGGUUUUAGAACCAUGGAGUCCUCUUGAACAAUGCUUGGUCAAGGAUAGCCCGGGUUUGGAUCUGUUGACAGGGUGAUGUUAUUGUAUUGUGCAGCCCAGAAUUGGAUAGUCUGAUGGUAAUUGUCUGGCAAACAAAAUGGAACAUGAAUUUUGUUGUGCAGGUUUUUGGUUGCAUUGCCGGCAUUGCCUCCUGGCUCGUGCGGUUACAGCCGGUGUCUCACGGCGGUUGGAUUGCCGGAAGGUGGCUGUUAUGCUGUCAUGGCCUUGCACUUGACGCGUUUCCAUUUUCCUGUUGCCGUCAAGCUGCGUUGUUGGCGUUGUCCAUUUCGUUGCAGCUUUUGUACUGUUGUACUUAUAGCAGUAGAAUGAGAUUCAAACGAAAUCCACUUCCAUUUAAUUAGAAAUUAUAAAGUUUGUUAGGGUGAAAUUGAAAAUGGAACUGCAAUGUAAAUGCGGAUGUUAAUUGUGAAAUUGAAAUGUGAAACUUUGUUUGUUGA
Lathyrus oleraceus (garden pea) is the source of this 1844-nucleotide long non-coding RNA. RefSeq lists it as uncharacterized. The record is from RefSeq and is a predicted model, not a curated record. The transcript has 2 exons. Lineage: Eukaryota; Viridiplantae; Streptophyta; Magnoliopsida; Fabales; Fabaceae.